AGACCAGACUAGCCAUGCACGUCUAGUACAAACUAAAUGAUGGUGAAACUGCAAAUGGCUCAUUACAACGGUUAUGAUGUACCCGGGAGUUCCGAUGGAUAUUUCCAGUAACACUAGAACUAAUACAUGUCCCUGCGUUUAUUAGUUUCGCACAGUCCGUCGCUGAGUCAUGGUAAACAGUUGAUCGACUCGACGUCCCGGAACAGUUUCCGCCCCAUCAGCUUCGAUGGUUGGGUAUUGGCCUACCAUUGCAACAACGGGUAACGAGGAAUUAGGGUUUGAUUUCGGAGAGGGAGCCUGAGAAACGGCUACCACAUCUACGGAUGGCAGCAGGCGCGCAAAUUACCCAAUGCAGACACUGUGAGGUAGUGACGAGAAAUAAUAAAGCGGGACUUCUGUUUCGCUAUUAUAAUGAGGAAUAACCAAAGGUCAUUCCGAUUAGCAACUGAUGGGAAAGUCUGGUGCCAGCAGCCGCGGUAAUACCAGCGUCAGUAGCAUAU
RNAcentral lists this ribosomal RNA (500 nucleotides) under uncultured Myrionecta. Its description in RNAcentral is "SSU rRNA". It matches the Rfam family "Eukaryotic small subunit ribosomal RNA", at positions 41 to 602 of the family's 1831-position model. The record is from RNAcentral. Lineage: Eukaryota; Ciliophora; Litostomatea; Cyclotrichida; Mesodiniidae.